Molecule: non-coding RNA, 45 nt
Organism: Schistosoma mattheei
Lineage: Eukaryota; Metazoa; Platyhelminthes; Trematoda; Strigeidida; Schistosomatidae
Source: Rfam
AUCCAGUUGACGAGUCCAAAAUAGGACUAAACACGCGUCCUAGAU